This is a non-coding RNA of Mesorhizobium sp. 65-26, 66 nucleotides long. The record is from Rfam. Lineage: Bacteria; Pseudomonadati; Pseudomonadota; Alphaproteobacteria; Hyphomicrobiales; Phyllobacteriaceae.
UGUCAAGAGUCCCGGCGCCAGUUCGGUGAGCAGUUUUCUUUUGCCUAUCGCACGAUAGGUGGAAGG